AUGGCGACCGCUUCAGUAUCGUUCAAGUCUCGUGAGGACCACCGGAAGCAGCUCGAGCUUGAGGAGGCGCGUAAGGCGGGGCUGGCCCCUGCCGAAGUCGACGAGGAUGGAAACGAAAUUAACCCUCACAUCCCGCAGUAUAUGUCCUCGGCCCCAUGGUAUCUCAACGCUGAGAAGCCGAGUUUGAAGCAUCAGCGGAAAUGGAAGUCGGAUCCGAAUUACACAAAAGCAUGGUACGAUAGGGGUGCCAGGCUUUUCCAGGCCAACAAAUACAGAAAAGGUGCUUGCGAAAACUGUGGAGCCAUGACUCACAAUAAGAAGGAAUGCAUGGAUCGACCUCGGAAUGUUGGAGCUAAAUAUACUAAUAUGAAUAUAGCACCGGAUGAGAAAGUUGAGUCGUUUGAGCUUGAUUAUGAUGGCAAGCGUGACCGUUGGAAUGGUUAUGACACAUCAACCUACACUCGUGUUAUCCAAGAUUAUGAAGCUAGAGAAGAGGCCAGGAAAAAGUUCCUGAAAGAACAACAGCUCAAGAAGCUCGAGGAGAAGGACGGCGAACAGGAUGGUGAGAAUGUGGGCAGUGAAGAGGAUGAAGAAGAUGGCCUGAAGAUAGAUGAGGCUAAAGUUGAUGAGAGCGCUCAAAUGGAUUUUGCCAAGGUAGAGAAGCGUGUGCGCACAACAGGCGGUGGAAGCACUGGAACUGUGAGGAAUUUGCGUAUCAGAGAAGACACUGCAAAGUAUCUUCUGAAUCUUGAUGUGAACUCUGCAUAUUAUGAUCCAAAAACCCGCUCCAUGCGUGAGGAUCCUUUGCCAGAUGCAGACCCCAAUGAUAAAUUCUAUGUUGGUGAUAACCAAAAUAGACUCAGUGGACAAGCUCUGGAGUUCAAGCAACUCAAUGUCCAUGCAUGGGAGGCUUUUGACAAGGGGCAGGAUUUCCAUAUGCAAGCAGCACCAUCUCAAGCUGAACUACUGUACAAGAGUUUCAAGAUCAAGAAGGAGAAGUUGAAAUCUGAAAGCAAGGACAAAAUUAUGGAGAAGUAUGGGAAUGCUGCAUCUGACGAACCAAUCCCUCGUGAGCUUCUUCUUGGGCAAAGUGAGAAAGAGAUUGAGUAUGACCGGACUGGUCGCAUAAUCAAAGGACAGGAUGUAGCUCUUCCUAAGAGCAAAUAUGAAGAGGAUGUCCUAAUUAAUAACCACACAACAGUGUGGGGUUCAUGGUGGAAAGAUCAUCAAUGGGGCUAUAAGUGCUGCAAGCAGACUAUUAAAAAUAGUUACUGCACAGGCCUUGCUGGAAUCGAGGCUGCUGAAGCAUCAGCUGAUUUGAUGAGGGAAAAUAUGGCCCGCAAGGAGGCCGCCGAAGAGGAACCUGUACGACAAGAAGAAAAGAAACUAGCCACUUGGGGAACAGAUAUUCCUCAGGAUCUUGUUCUGGACCAGAAGUUGCUUGAGGAAUCCUUAAAGAAGGAGGCAAAGAGGAAGAAGGAAGAGAUGGACGAAAGAAAGAGGAAGUACAAUGUGAAGUGGAACGACGAGGUCACCGCCGAAGACAUGGAGGCCUACCGUAUGACGAGAGUCCGCCAUGACGAUCCUAUGAAAGAUUUUCUCAAUUAG
This 1608-nucleotide ribosomal RNA is filed under the name Triticum aestivum (bread wheat). RNAcentral's name for it is "partial small subunit ribosomal RNA". Lineage: Eukaryota; Viridiplantae; Streptophyta; Magnoliopsida; Poales; Poaceae. The record is from RNAcentral.